CCGCCGGCGACCGGCGCACGGGUGAGUAACGCGUAUGCAACCUGCCCGUUUCAGCGGGAUAACCCGGAGAAAUCCGGCCUAAUACCGCAUGUGGCCGAGGGGAGGCAUCUUCUUUCGGCCAAAGGAGGCGACUCCGGAGACGGAUGGGCAUGCGUGACAUUAGCUUGUUGGCGGGGUAACGGCCCACCAAGGCGACGAUGCGUAGGGGUUCUGAGAGGAAGGUCCCCCACACUGGUACUGAGACACGGACCAGACUCCUACGGGAGGCAGCAG
This 273-nucleotide ribosomal RNA is filed under the name uncultured bacterium. RNAcentral describes it as "partial 16S ribosomal RNA". It matches the Rfam family "Bacterial small subunit ribosomal RNA", at positions 85 to 354 of the family's 1533-position model. The record is from RNAcentral.